RNAcentral lists this ribosomal RNA (253 nucleotides) under uncultured bacterium. RNAcentral's name for it is "partial 16S ribosomal RNA". It matches the Rfam family "Bacterial small subunit ribosomal RNA", at positions 524 to 776 of the family's 1533-position model. The record is from RNAcentral.
UACGUAGGGGGCAAGCGUUGUCCGGAAUCAUUGGGCGUAAAGCGCGCGUAGGCGGCCCGGCAAGUCCGCUGUGAAGGUCCAGGGCUCAACCCUGGGAUGCCGGUGGAUACUGUCGGGCUCGAGUCCGGAAGAGGCGAGUGGAAUUCCUGGUGUAGCGGUGAAAUGCGCAGAUAUCAGGAGGAACACCAAUGGCGAAGGCAGCUCGCUGGGACGGUACUGACGCUGAGGCGCGAAAGCGUGGGGAGCAAACAGG